UAAGGUCACGGCGAGACGAGCCGUUUUAUUAACAAUAGGUGUCAAGUGGAAGUGCAGUAAUGUAUGCAGCUGAGGCAUCCUAACAGACCGGUAGACUUGAAC
RNAcentral lists this ribosomal RNA (102 nucleotides) under Medicago turbinata. Its description in RNAcentral is "4.5S ribosomal RNA". Lineage: Eukaryota; Viridiplantae; Streptophyta; Magnoliopsida; Fabales; Fabaceae. The record is from RNAcentral.